RNAcentral lists this unclassified non-coding RNA (151 nucleotides) under soil metagenome. RNAcentral's name for it is "partial internal transcribed spacer 1". The record is from RNAcentral.
CCGAGUUUACAACUCCCAAACCCCUGUGAACAUACCUAUACGUUGCCUCGGCGGAUCAGCCCGCGCCCCGUAAAAUAGGGACAGGCCCGCCACGAGGACCCCCCUAAACUCUGUUUUAGUGGAACUUCUGAGUAAACAAACAAAUAAAUCA